RNAcentral lists this ribosomal RNA (372 nucleotides) under uncultured organism. Its description in RNAcentral is "bacterial SSU rRNA". It matches the Rfam family "Bacterial small subunit ribosomal RNA", at positions 526 to 896 of the family's 1533-position model. The record is from RNAcentral.
CAGAGGGUGCAAACGUUGUUCGGAAUUACUGGGCGUAAAGCGCAUGUAGGCGGCCUAGCAGGUCGGAUGUGAAAUCCCUCGGCUCAACCAAGGAAGUGCAUUCGAAACCGCAAGGCUCGAGUCCCGGAGAGGAUGGUGGAAUUCUCGGUGUAGAGGUGAAAUUCGUAGAUAUCGAGAGGAACACCGGCGGCGAAGGCGGCCAUCUGGACGAGGACUGACGCUGAGAUGCGAAAGCGUGGGGAGCAAACAGGAUUAGAUACCCUGGUAGUCCACGCUGUAAACGAUGGGUGCUAGGUGUCACGGGCUUUGACCCCUGUGGUGCCGUAGCCAACGCAUUAAGCACCCCGCCUGGGAAGUACGGUCGCAAGACUA